ACGGGAGGCAGCAGUGGGGAAUUUUGGACAAUGGGGGCAACCCUGAUCCAGCAAUGCCGCGUGAGUGAAGAAGGCCUUCGGGUUGUAAAGCUCUUUUGUCAGGGAAGAAACGGCUGUGGCUAAUAUCCACGGCUAAUGACGGUACCUGAAGAAUAAGCACCGGCUAACUACGUGCCAGCAGCCGCGGUAAUACGUAGGGCGCAAGCGUUAAUCGGAAUUACUGGGCGUAAAGCGUGCGCAGGCGGUUUUGUAAGUCAGACGUGAAAUCCCCGGGCUUAACCUGGGAAUCGCGUUGGAGACUGCAAGGCUGGAGUCUGGACAGAGGGGGGUAGAAUUCCCACGUGUAGCAGUGAAAUGCGUAGAGAUGUGGAGGAACACCGAUGGCGAAGGCAGCCCCUGGGUCAAGACAGACGCUACAUGCACGAAAGCGGGGGGAGCAAACAGGAUUAGAUACCGUGGUAGUCCACGCCCUACGCGAUGUCUACUAGUUGUCGGU
RNAcentral lists this ribosomal RNA (496 nucleotides) under uncultured bacterium. RNAcentral's name for it is "bacterial SSU rRNA". It matches the Rfam family "Bacterial small subunit ribosomal RNA", at positions 341 to 827 of the family's 1533-position model. The record is from RNAcentral.